AGAUGCGGCUGGCUGCGAGCUGGAGUCGGGCUUUCGCCUAGCGCAGCUGCGAGCGAGGCGCGGGGGAGGCGAGCGUGAGCCCGAGUGCCAGCAGCAGCCGGAGUCGGUGGAGAGUACCCGGGCGCCGCCGGAACUGCCGUCGUGAUGGCCGUGGCUGUGGGCAGACCGUCUAAUGAAGAGCUUCGAAACUUGUCCCUUUCUGGCCAUGUUGGAUUUGACAGUCUCCCUGAUCAGCUUGUCAACAAGUCCACUUCUCAAGGAUUCUGUUUCAACAUCCUGUGUGUGGGUGAGACAGGUAUUGGCAAAUCCACAUUAAUGGACACUUUAUUCAAUACCAAAUUUGAAAGUGAUCCAGCUACUCACAAUGAACCAGGCGUCCGCUUAAAAGCCAGAAGUUAUGAGCUUCAGGAAAGCAACGUACGACUGAAGCUAACCAUUGUUGACACCGUGGGAUUUGGAGACCAGAUAAAUAAAGAUGACAGCUAUAAGCCAAUAGUGGAAUAUAUCGAUGCCCAAUUUGAGGCUUACUUACAAGAGGAAUUGAAGAUUAAACGGUCUCUCUUCAAUUAUCAUGACACAAGGAUUCAUGCCUGCCUCUAUUUCAUCGCCCCUACUGGACAUUCUCUGAAGUCCCUCGACCUGGUCACCAUGAAAAAGCUGGACAGCAAGGUGAACAUCAUUCCAAUAAUUGCAAAAGCUGACACCAUUGCCAAGAAUGAAUUGCACAAAUUUAAGAGUAAGAUCAUGAGUGAACUAGUGAGCAAUGGAGUCCAGAUAUAUCAGUUCCCCACAGAUGAAGAAACCGUGGCAGAAAUUAAUGCAACGAUGAGUGUUCAUCUUCCAUUUGCAGUGGUUGGCAGUACUGAAGAGGUGAAGAUCGGCAACAAGAUGGCCAAGGCCCGGCAGUACCCCUGGGGUGUGGUUCAAGUUGAGAAUGAAAACCACUGUGAUUUUGUGAAGCUUAGGGAGAUGCUGAUCCGUGUGAACAUGGAGGACUUGAGAGAACAGACACAUACUCGCCAUUAUGAGCUAUAUCGGCGCUGUAAGCUUGAGGAGAUGGGAUUCAAGGACACUGACCCUGACAGCAAGCCCUUCAGUCUUCAGGAGACAUAUGAAGCAAAAAGGAAUGAAUUCUUGGGAGAAUUGCAGAAGAAAGAAGAAGAAAUGAGACAAAUGUUUGUUAUGAGAGUGAAGGAGAAAGAGGCUGAAUUGAAAGAGGCAGAGAAAGAGCUUCAUGAGAAGUUUGACCUCCUCAAGAGGACACACCAAGAAGAGAAGAAGAAGGUGGAAGACAAGAAGAAGGAGCUUGAGGAAGAGGUGAAUAACUUCCAGAAGAAGAAGGCAGCAGCUCAGCUACUACAAUCCCAGGCCCAGCAGUCUGGGGCCCAGCAAACUAAGAAAGACAAGGAUAAGAAAAAUGCAAGCUUCACAUAAAGCCUGGCAAGCCAAGGAUGUUCCCGCAUUUACCUGCUUUUGCAGUAAUAGUAUAUGUCUGCCAUCUGUGUCCUUUUGUUUUAUUUUAUUGUUUUACCCUUCCCCAAACACCAGUAACUCUUAAUUCAUUUUGCUAAAUGUUGUCUGGUGGUAGAAUAUGAUAGAACAAGGGGAUAACUGCAAAUGCUCUGUGCAGCUGGACUUUGAUUUUGGAAAGUAAAUGAUUUGCCUUGUAUGCUUAUCCCAAAUGGCAGCAGGAAGCAUGCCUGUUACUUGUACAUUGCUUUGGACCAAGGAAAAUGGGGUAAAAUGCUACCUGUACAUCUGAUGUGAAAACUUCUCACCACCUCAGCAACUGAACUAAAACCCUGAAUAGCCAUGACAAUUUGCAUUUUCUUGAUGAUUCAUCUCAUGAAUAUACAACUGCUGUAGACCAAGGUAGAUUUGUAAGUAGGCACAAUGGUGGGUGACCAUCAGAGAUGACUUUACACUUGCAUCAGUUUGUCAUUUUAAUCACUUGUAUUAUUUGGCCAAGCUUGUGGUCUGUUCAGACUGUCUUAGGUGUUGAGUGUAUAUCUGAAUGAUCACUUCAAAGCCUGGCCAAGCUAGGAUGGAUAGGUGUAAGAAAACAACAAUUACAUUUAUGUCUAUCAGUUUGUUCUUGACUCACAGGUCUAGAUCUAAAGAUCAGGUUAUAUAAUACUACUUAAGUAGAAGAAUCUUCCAGUAAGAAUGAUAGGAUUCACACAAGCUAUGAUAUACCAUUUAUAGUAAGGGAUCAUACACAAACACACUUGUAUUUGUUCUGAGUGGGCCAAGAAGAAUACCUAUGACUAGAUCCCAGGAUAUGGGUACUUCUAAUAAAAGUUUUCAUAAAUUACAAGGAUGAACUUGCCCUAGAUAGUUCAAAUAGAAAAUUGCUAUAAAAUUCUAUUAUCUGCAGCAUAAGUUAGAAUCAAUUUAAGGUAAAAUGGGAAAGAACAUGAUUCAAGUAAGUAGAAAUUGAAAAAAAAUAUAUUUAAACUGUAGAAAUUCAGCUUCAGUUCUAUCUUGCUUGCUGGUGUUUCCAAUAUAGUUGCAUUGAAGGAUUUUCCUCUCUUGUGCUCUCAACAUGAUUACUAGCUACACAUGUUCUUUGUUACCUAGUCCCACUGCCUCAUCCAGGACUAGAAUUAACCCAUAUGCCAUGACCCAUCCCACCUGCCUGAUUUGUAGAGAAGGGCAUGUUUUCUGUCUUCCACCCUUUUUUUUUUUUUUGACACUUAUCCUUUAUCUUCUGGCUUCUGCCUGCUAACAAGAUUGCCCUAGCUUUCUCUCUAACUCUUGUAAGUAACUGUUGCUGACUUCACUCAGACCUUUCCCUCUGCAUUUCCCCUCUAACCACUACUUAGUUAUAUACAAACAGUGGAAUACUCUGCAGUCCUCCUUCCCCAACACAUACUUUUUUUUUUUUUUUUUAAGUUAAUAAGAUCUCAGCAAAGUUCUGCCCCAUCCCCCUUUGGCCCCAGUUAUACCGAAAAGGAAGCAAUUUCAUUAAUUUAUUUAGGCUUCAUUGGGCAAAGUAAAGAAAUCAGCUUCACUGAGGUGCAAACCAAGCUGGUUUAGAAGCUGCAAACUGGGAACGACAGUAGCUGCCUUCACAGGUUGAAGGAGGAACUACGAGACUGACACUUUUGCUUUGCUUUUGCUUUUUCUAGCUGGCUAUGGAGCAGCUGGGUGCUAAAUGGCAUGCUGACUAACCAUGGCAUUUGCUCUUUUGCUGGGCACCACACAAGAGCUUAAAUAUUUGUGUUGUGUGCUUGUUCCAACCACUGCUUAAGUGUGCAUUUUUGUGUCUUAUAAUAAUAGAAGGUACCUCUUUAAAUCCUAUUUCUUGCAUACCUAAAAGCUUUUUUUUAAGUGAAUCUAACAACAAAAAUCAUCCAGCUGACUUGAUUGAUUUUUUUUGCAUUAAAUUUUUUCACAGCAAAGUAAAUUGUAUGGAGAGUCAGGGAAUAAGAAGCCAAAAGAAUUAUAGAAGCUUUAUAAAAAAUGUGUUGCUUCUGAAAUUUUUUUCUCCCACUGCUCCCCAGCCUUGUUUAGUUUGUUAUUGCUGCUCUCUUUUCUUUCUGUAUCUAUGCCUUUUUUCACAGUAGUCCUUGGCUCUGCACGGAAUAAAUGAUACCCUCAAAUCUAAUUGGAUGUACUUUCACCUUUGCAUCUUCUUCUUUAUGUAACCAUCCUGUUGACAAGCCCUACUCUCUCCUAAUGGACAUAGAGCAUUAGAAGAGCAGGAGCUGUCUGUUCACACGUGUUGGGGAAGAGUUACCUCAUUUCCACCAUCGCCUCCUGUUCUUUAUAAGUCUGGGUCAAAUAUUGCAUUGCUAUUUGUAUUUGUCAAUGUCUGUUUACAAACCACUGCCUUCUUGCUGCUGAAGUGACUUCAUUAUCAAACAUACUAAUACUAAUAUUAAUUAAAAAGAAAUUGAGUGAAGCAGAGAACUUGGGCCUAAACCUAAGGUCUCAUGCUGGAAUCCUCUUGCUUAGCUGCCAUGUUCUUGAAGCUUCUGAUCCAAGAACUUGUGGAUAAAGAGAGCAUGUGUACCACCUGAGGUGGCCAUCAUCUCUGGGAUAAACUUGAUUCAUGGUACCUCCUGACAUCUAUCCCAUGAGCAACACUCUUAGCCCCACAAGGAUCCUCUACCACCAUCAUGAGAGCUGGACAACACUUUCCUUCCUUCGGUUAGCUUUGUGGGCAGUGUGGGGUGCUUGGUGUUUGGAUUUUAUUUUUUCAUUUGAUAUUGCAUGAAUAUAGGUGGCUGAAUUUUUUCCCAUUCAUGUGUCCUAUUGAUACAAUGUUUUUAUUUUUCAGCUGAUCAUCCGCCUCUUGAGAGAAAGAAGUGGGAUCCUUCUUUUAAAUUCGGGAACCAUUAUUGUUUUGUUAGACUCUUUUUCUGUUAUCUGCAUCCCUUUUAUAAGUUAUUUUGGGAUUGGGAUUCUGGUUUAUUUUUAAGGAGAGGUGGAGUCCAGCUAAUGAGUUCUGCUUUUUCUAUUUGUUAUCCAAGUUUACUUUUGGUUUCAAAAUUAUGCCAGCUUACCUCAAGGGGAAAUAUAAGUUAAUUUUAUAAAUAAGUUAAAAACUGUUUAAUAUGUUCUCCUUAUCUUAGAUGCAAUCUUAAAAUCCCCUUCUUUGUUACUAGGGUUUUGAUCUACAAGUCUCAUUCAUGUUUAAAAUGUGCCAGUGUUGGAUCAAUGACUUUCUGCCUCUGGGGCUCAAUUUAUAUUUAAAGAUAUCUUAAGAUAA
Jaculus jaculus (lesser Egyptian jerboa) is the source of this 4717-nucleotide RNA transcript. It is a transcript of the gene named septin 11, with no coding region annotated. The record is from RefSeq and is a predicted model, not a curated record. Lineage: Eukaryota; Metazoa; Chordata; Mammalia; Rodentia; Dipodidae. The transcript is spliced from 11 exons.